RNAcentral lists this transfer RNA (67 nucleotides) under Culicoides kibunensis. Its description in RNAcentral is "tRNA-Trp". The record is from RNAcentral. Lineage: Eukaryota; Metazoa; Arthropoda; Insecta; Diptera; Ceratopogonidae.
AAGGCUUUAAGUUAAAAAAAACUUUUAACCUUCAAAGUUAACAAUAAAAAAAUAUUUUUAAGCUUUA